This is a long non-coding RNA of Homo sapiens (human), 736 nucleotides long. The record is from Ensembl. NCBI's taxonomy places the organism in Eukaryota, Metazoa, Chordata, Mammalia, Primates, Hominidae.
GUGCAGGGAGAUGUCUCAGAAAAAGUGUUUCUUUAGCCCUCUCCCUGACUUGCAUCCUCAUGAGACUCUUAAACCCCCUCCUGACCUUCAGAGAUGUUUAUCAUCAGAGAUGGGUUAUGGAAGUGAUCCUAUAGAACCUGAGAGAUUGCUUAACUCAAACUCUGCUUCUACAUUAGAGUGUCUUCUGAAAAAUGACCUCAACAAAAUUUGCUAUCUACCUAUUUACUAACAUAAAUGAGGAAACCAAAAAGGUCAACGGUGAGGCAGGAAGGUUUCAGUUCAGUGGAGAAAAGAAAAUCUUGAUGAAAUGUCAUUAACUUCCAUAUUUGGAAUAAGCUAUAAAAGGACUACGUGUCUUUCCCCAGGACUAUAUGCCGUUCCCUUUCCAGGACUAUGUGUCUUUCCGCAGGACUAUAUGCCAUUCCCCAAGUGCCAUUCGGAAAUUAUUCAUAAAAUUUAUGUAGAAACGAAAGGUUCAAAAAUAGCAAAGACACUUGAAGAACCAGGUAGGAAGGACUUGUUCUACCAGCUAUUGAUUUAUUAUAUUAUUACUCCAAUUAAGACACCGAGAUUGUCAUCAAUAUUGAAAAAUAGAUCAGAAGCAACAAAUUAAAAAUCCAGAAACCAGUCAUUUUUCCAUACUAAUUUGGUCUCAAUGAGAACAACAUAAUUCUCAUUCAUCUCCCUGUAGAAGUUAUAUAUUUCCAAAGUGGUUCAAAUGUACUGAAAGCCAACU